UUAUUGUGUUGCCUAGGCUGGAGUGCGGCGGCGCAAUCAUGAUAAUGGCUCACCAUAGCCUCCACCUCUCUGGACUCAAGUGAUCCUCCCACCUCAGCCUCCCUAGUAACUCGGGGUACAGAUGCAUGUCCCAGCACCCAGCCUGUAAUGCUCAGAACAGCGCUGGCUACAAAAGUGCCCUUGGUGUCAUCUUUGUUUUGUUGUCAUUCAAAACAGGGCUUACCUAGGAAGCUCUAAGGCCAGCCAGUCACCAGGUUUGGAAAGUCCAAAGAAGACCAGCAAGCAUCUAAAAGCCAGUGUGGUGCCACGGCAGGGAGCAUACUCAGCCUCUUGCUAGCUGAGCUGGAGGUGGACGAGAGACAGCAUCUCCUCUGUCCUGUUCUUCCUGUCCUGUACUGGUUCCAUCAUAGCUUUGUGAAAAUUCAUCAAGUGGCUGGUGCGGUGGCUCACGCCUGUCAUCUCAGCACUUUGGAAGGACACCAGUCAUAUUGGAUUAGGGCCACCCUAAUGGUCUCAUCUCACCUUAAUUACAUCUGCAAGGCCCUGACUUUCAACUCAGGUAACAUUCACAAAGUUUUUGGGUCAUGACUAAAGAGACCUUUUGUGGGACAUGAUUCAAUUCAUAACAGCAGCCCUUAGAUGAUGAUGUUGCUCUUAUGGAAACUUCCUUCCAGGAAGAGAUGUCUGAGUCAUAAAGACUUUAAGUAUUCUUGUUUCUGUGUCAGUAAUUUCCUG
This 735-nucleotide long non-coding RNA is filed under the name Callithrix jacchus (white-tufted-ear marmoset). Its description in RNAcentral is "lncRNA (ENSCJAG00000079376.1)". The record is from RNAcentral. Lineage: Eukaryota; Metazoa; Chordata; Mammalia; Primates; Cebidae.